UAUUAAAGUGGCAGAAUUUAUGCUAGGAAUUUAAGCUUCCUGAAAGAAUUAGUUUCCUUUAAUAA
This 65-nucleotide transfer RNA is filed under the name Dermacentor albipictus. RNAcentral describes it as "tRNA-Leu". The record is from RNAcentral. Lineage: Eukaryota; Metazoa; Arthropoda; Arachnida; Ixodida; Ixodidae.